GACGAACGCUGGCGGCGUGCUUAACACAUGCAAGUCGAACGGAAAGGCCCUGCUUUUGUGGGGUGCUCGAGUGGCGAACGGGUGAGUAACACGUGAGUAACCUGCCCUUGACUUUGGGAUAACUUCAGGAAACUGGGGCUAAUACCGGAUAGGAGCUCCUGCUGCAUGGUGGGGGUUGGUAAGUUUCGGCGGUUGGGGAUGGACUCGCGGCUUAUCAGCUUGUUGGUGGGGUAGUGGCUUACCAAGGCUUUGACGGGUAGCCGGCCUGAGAGGGUGACCGGCCACAUUGGGACUGAGAUACGGCCCAGACGCCUACGGGAGGCAGCAGUGGGGAAUAUUGCACAAUGGGCGGAAGCCUGAUGCAGCAACGCCGCGUGCGGGAUGACGGCCUUCGGGUUGUAAACCGCUUUCGCCUGUGACGAAGCGUGAGUGACGGUAAUGGGUAAAGAAGCACCGGCUAACUACGUG
RNAcentral lists this ribosomal RNA (468 nucleotides) under uncultured bacterium. RNAcentral's name for it is "partial 16S ribosomal RNA". It matches the Rfam family "Bacterial small subunit ribosomal RNA", at positions 28 to 507 of the family's 1533-position model. The record is from RNAcentral.